CAUUUGCUUCUUCCCGGAUAGGAUCACGAAGUGUUGAUGUGAGAUACGACGAGUUCUCCGACAAGUUCUUAUGCAGCUUUCCACAGGCGAGCCCACCUCCUUCACCUAUUUUAUAUUUUGCUCCCCCUCGCACUGCUAUCCUUAUGUUGCGAUUCUUUAUCGAGUCACGUGUCCUAUUCCACUUGUUUACCAUAAUAAUCCUAUAUGUAUCAUUCCUUAACCAUAGCCGUUGCUUGAUGUUUGAGCCUUGCGAGUCGUAGGCGUGUUUAGGCUAUAUUGUUUAUCUCGAUCUGUUAUCGGGAUAUGUUGGGUUGUUGGGAGGUUAUCACAUGCUAUAUCAGUUGUUGGAGAUACUCAUGCUUUACUUUAUUGUUAACAAAUAAAAUUGUAAGCAGAGGCAUCUGUGAGCCCCUUUGCGAAAGCAUCGGAACUUUGACUUGCUAAUGUCCCAUAGGACCCGAGUUCUUGUUAUCUGUUCCGAGAUUGAGCGCUCUACCCGUACGUGGGGGAGUGGGACCCCCAUCACCCACUACCUUUCCUCGAGUCUGUUCAUUGGGAGCCAUAACCUUGGUUUUAUUUGCCCAUAUGCACGAUGCACGAUUUACUUCAUGUUGCCUUCGGGUGUUUUAUUCUGUACUGUACUCAUAACGCGGGACUCCUUAUCCUUGGCCGGUCGUUAGUGCCCGCCUUGGAAGCCGUCGCAAACCUCUGGGUCCGUAUCGGAGUACGGCCGAACUUCGUCACGGGUAGCUUAGUUGGGUGGCUCCCAUUAAACUUUCUCUUGCAUUGGGAACGGUCUUGAUGUGAGACUCCACCUGUAGUAAGUGGGUUCGAGCAUGCGUAUGGUUACAUUUGGGCAACCCCUGCAGGGUGUACAUCUUAUCGAUAAGCCGUGUCCGCGGUUAAGGACGACUUGGAAUUGUAUGGCUUGAUCAUAGAACAACUUACACCUUAUACUUGUUGUUAAUAAUCUGAUAAUAACUUGCGUAGUAAUAUAGCAUUACUACAACCGAUACCUAAUAAAAACUUGUCCACCGUUGAGUGCCUUUUACAUUGCCUCUUCGCUUUGUUGAAGGGGAUAUGUGUAAUCGGCUGGGUUAUGUUUGUGUAGUAUUUUAUCUGUUACCUUGUGCGCUCUCUUAUCUUCUCUGAGUAGACGGAUGUUGUAGCGCGUCUCUAUUGGUUAUAGUUUUGCUGCCGCUAAACCUACCAUAUAGCCCCAGGCGAUAUAUAUUUAUAGUCGCCCGGCGAGCAUAGCCAUUUCUAGUCUCGCUAAGUACGUGCCGGAGUUCGUUCCUUGGUACUUACUCUCGCCUUUUCCCUUUCUCUUUUGCUUCCUUCCUUUUGUCGGCAACCGAUGGCCCGACUUCGACAGGUACAAGAUGACGACGUUAGCAAGAUUACCCUUCCGGCUUGGCCUGGGCAGGGUUAUGGACGCCACUGGUUAUCUUCAGGACUCUUAGUCCAAUUUGUAUCUUGUCCGUACUCGGACGUAUUUGAUCUUUUGUAUGAUUUGGAUCUUUGUAUUGUAUAUUUGUAUCUUGACUCGUUGGAGUCGUUGUUGUAAUAUAUGUAUCUUGUGGGCUCUA
Lolium perenne is the source of this 1589-nucleotide non-coding RNA. The record is from RefSeq and is a predicted model, not a curated record. Lineage: Eukaryota; Viridiplantae; Streptophyta; Magnoliopsida; Poales; Poaceae.